RNAcentral lists this ribosomal RNA (408 nucleotides) under uncultured bacterium. RNAcentral describes it as "bacterial SSU rRNA". It matches the Rfam family "Bacterial small subunit ribosomal RNA", at positions 30 to 440 of the family's 1533-position model. The record is from RNAcentral.
AUUGAACGCUGGCGGAAUGCUUUACACAUGCAAGUCGAACGGCAGCACGGGGCAACCUGGUGGCGAGUGGCGAACGGGUGAGUAAUACAUCGGAACGUGCCCAAUCGUGGGGGAUAACGUAGCGAAAGUUACGCUAAUACCGCAUACGAUCUACGGAUGAAAGCGGGGGAUCGCAAGACCUCGCGCGAAUGGAGCGGCCGAUGUCAGAUUAGGUAGUUGGUGGGGUAAAGGCUCACCAAGCCAACGAUCUGUAGCUGGUCUGAGAGGACGACCAGCCACACUGGGACUGAGACACGGCCCAGACUCCUACGGGAGGCAGCAGUGGGGAAUAUUGGACAAUGGGCGCAAGCCUGAUCCAGCAAUGCCGCGUGUGUGAAGAAGGCCUGCGGGUUGUAAAGCACUUUCAGU